This 247-nucleotide ribosomal RNA is filed under the name uncultured Alcaligenes sp. RNAcentral's name for it is "partial 16S ribosomal RNA". It matches the Rfam family "Bacterial small subunit ribosomal RNA", at positions 796 to 1041 of the family's 1533-position model. Lineage: Bacteria; Pseudomonadati; Pseudomonadota; Betaproteobacteria; Burkholderiales; Alcaligenaceae. The record is from RNAcentral.
CACGCCCUAAACGAUGUCAACUAGCUGUUGGGGCCGUUAGGCCUUAGUAGCGCAGCUAACGCGUGAAGUUGACCGCCUGGGGAGUACGGUCGCAAGAUUAAAACUCAAAGGAAUUGACGGGGACCCGCACAAGCGGUGGAUGAUGUGGAUUAAUUCGAUGCAACGCGAAAAACCUUACCUACCCUUGACAUGUCUGGAAUGCCGAAGAGAUUUGGCAGUGCUCGCAAGAGAACCAGAACACAGGUGC